AUGGGAAAUGGCUCAGGUGCUGCUGUUCUGGGAGUAGGGAAGGUUGACCUGAAGUUUACAUCAGGAAAAAUCAUUACCUUAAAGAAUGUGCAGUACGUGCCCUCAAUAAAUAGGAACCUGAUUAGUGGCUCUCUUUUAUGCCGAGAUGGCUUCAAAUUAGUUUUUGAGUCGAAUAAAGUUGUUAUUUCCAAAUUUGGUUUAUUUAUAGGGAAAGGCUAUGAGUGUGGAGGCUUGUUCCGCACAUCUUUGUUGGAUGCUGAGAAUAAAUUUGUUCACAACACUAUUAGUGUUCUUAAUUCAAAUAAAGAUGCAUCCAUU
RNAcentral lists this ribosomal RNA (318 nucleotides) under Triticum aestivum (bread wheat). RNAcentral's name for it is "partial small subunit ribosomal RNA". The record is from RNAcentral. Lineage: Eukaryota; Viridiplantae; Streptophyta; Magnoliopsida; Poales; Poaceae.